UACGUUGGGAGCAAGCGUUGUUCGGAAUUACUGGGCGUAAAGCGUGCGUAGACGGCUAUCUAAGUCGGGUGUGAAAUCCCGGGGCUCAACCCCGGAACUGCCUUUGAUACUGGUAGUCUCGAGUCCGGAAGAGGUGAGUGGAAUUCCGAGUGUAGAGGUGAAAUUCGUAGAUAUUCGGAGGAACACCAACGGCGAAGGCAGCUCGCUGGGACGGUACUGACGCUGAGGCGCGAAAGCGUGGGGAGCGAACAGG
RNAcentral lists this ribosomal RNA (253 nucleotides) under uncultured bacterium. RNAcentral describes it as "partial 16S ribosomal RNA". It matches the Rfam family "Bacterial small subunit ribosomal RNA", at positions 524 to 776 of the family's 1533-position model. The record is from RNAcentral.